ACUCCGACCACGGCUUUGCUGCAUACAUAUAUUGGAGAUGUCCAAAGACUUGGCCGGCCUCAGGCAUCGCUUCUGCCUCUCUCUUCAGAAAGCUAUACGUAAAAGACCUUCUCCCUGGGACGGCGCGUGGAUGUUCGAGGAAGGGGGCGAAUUAUUCUGAAGAAGAGGUAGGACUUACGCAUUUAGGCGACCUUCCACGUGUGCUCCCAGUUACUGGAUUGCUUGGAGAAACACCGAGAUUAUCUUCUCGUCCUGCGAAUUGGUCUCAACACAGUCAGUAGAUUCAACCUAAAGACACUAACUAGUCAACAAGCGGUGUCUUGCGAGGAGGGACAAUCACUUUUCAGUCCUUCGCCUGACCCCCUGGGCACCCUUAGGGCCCUCGGGCCAUCCAUCGAACUCUUUGAGAGGCUGAGGACGGGACAGGUCGUACCAUACUUGGCCAGCUUCUUGAAUUCCUCGGCGUUAGUGUAGAGGGCUUUCCAAAUGGUAUCGUCAGAAAUGUGACCCUCGUCGGUCCCAGACAACUGGAUAAGACAGGUGAAGAGGGGACUACGCAUUGGGCAUGAGCUACAGACAAUGAUCGAAUGCAAAAGGGUGACUCACAGAUCGGGAAGAUCAGACCUAAUCCAUUCCAUGCAGGCACCAAAGCCAGUUUCAACGCACU
RNAcentral lists this small RNA (667 nucleotides) under Cryptococcus neoformans H99. RNAcentral's name for it is "Cryptococcus neoformans var. grubii H99 hypothetical RNA". Lineage: Eukaryota; Fungi; Basidiomycota; Tremellomycetes; Tremellales; Cryptococcaceae. The record is from RNAcentral.